This 253-nucleotide ribosomal RNA is filed under the name uncultured archaeon. Its description in RNAcentral is "partial 16S ribosomal RNA". It matches the Rfam family "Archaeal small subunit ribosomal RNA", at positions 730 to 982 of the family's 1478-position model. The record is from RNAcentral.
ACGAUACCCCCGUAGUCCCAGCCGUAAACUAUACUCGCUAGGUGUCAGGCAUGGCGCGACCGUGUCUGGUGCCGCAGGGAAGCCGUGAAGCGAGCCACCUGGGAAGUACGGCCGCAAGGCUGAAACUUAAAGGAAUUGGCGGGGGAGCACAACAACGGGUGGAGCCUGCGGUUUAAUUGGACUCAACGCCGGACAACUCACCGGGGACGACAGCAAUAUGUAGGCCAGGCUGAAGACCUUGCCUGAAUCGCUG